CCAGCUUGCUGGAUGCUGACGAGCGGCGGACGGGUGAGUAAUGCAUAGGAAUCUGCCCGAUAGUGGGGGAUAACCUGGGGAAACCCAGGCUAAUACCGCAUACGUCCUACGGGAGAAAGGGGGCUCCGGCUCCCGCUAUGGGAUGAGCCUAUGUCGGAUUAGCUAGUUGGUGAGGUAACGGCUCACCAAGGCCACGAUCCGUAGCUGGUCUGAGAGGAUGAUCAGCCACAUCGGGACUGAGACACGGCCCGAACUCCUACGGGAGGCAGCAGUGGGGAAUAUUGGACAAUGGGGGCAACCCUGAUCCAGCCAUGCCGCGUGUGUGAAGAAGGCCCUCGGGUUGUAAAGCACUUUCAGCGAGGAAGAACGCCUAGCGGUUAAUACCCGCUAGGAAAGACAUCACUCGCAGAAGAAGCACCGGCUAACUCCGUGCCAGCAGCCGCGGUAAUACGGAGGGUGCAAGCGUUAAUCGGAAUUACUGGGCGUAAAGCGCGCGUAGGUGGCUUGAUAAGCCGGUUGUGAAAGCCCCGGGCUCAACCUGGGAACGGCAUCCGGAACUGUCAAGCUAGAGUGCAGGAGAGGAAGGUAGAAUUCCCGGUGUAGCGGUGAAAUGCG
Molecule: ribosomal RNA, 615 nt
Filed under: Vreelandella aquamarina
Lineage: Bacteria; Pseudomonadati; Pseudomonadota; Gammaproteobacteria; Oceanospirillales; Halomonadaceae
Description: bacterial SSU rRNA
Rfam family: Bacterial small subunit ribosomal RNA
Source: RNAcentral